RNAcentral lists this long non-coding RNA (911 nucleotides) under Struthio camelus australis. Its description in RNAcentral is "lncRNA (ENSSCUG00000008668.1)". Lineage: Eukaryota; Metazoa; Chordata; Aves; Struthioniformes; Struthionidae. The record is from RNAcentral.
CUCCCUGAGGGGAAGGGCGGCGGCCACCGAGCCGCGGGGCCAGGCCGCCCGGGUGGCAGUAGGUCAGUCAGGGACAAGCCGGGCCCGGGGCGAGCUGGAAGUUUCGCUUUUUUCGGAAGAGGAAAGACACCCUCAGAUUUCAAAACAAUAGCAAUAGUAAUCCCGACUCUUAGUAAUAUCGCCGCUAUUGAGGUUUCGGGGAACCCGUAAGGUUUACUCACAGCAUCGAAAGCGUGUUGGCGACUUGCGCUAGUCCUCAGCAUCCCAUCGGGUUGGUGACGGUCACGAAAGCAAGCUUGACUGCACUAGAAUACAAAGAUGGAGCAAAGAAGGAACAGCAGUAACUGGCAAGAAAAGGAUACUUCCUGCCAACACAGCCCACACCAACCAUGCUAUGUGUCUGUUGCAAAAGAUAAAAUACAGAUGAGUAACUCCAGCAGACUUCUAAUGUUGCAUUCAACCUACUACCAGAUUUGGACUGUGAGAGGAGGAGACUGGAAAUUGCUAGUGAAGAGAAUCUCCUUCAUCUCCAGAAAACGGAUACAAAUGCAAAGCCUUGUGCAGGAGACCUGGAGAAGCAACUGACAGAGGGUAUUCUCCUCCUAAACUCGGAGGCGGUGGCAGAACACUGGCAACAUUCACUGCAGCAAAGCACGAAGUUUUGGCCACUGAAUCUUGGCUUUAUUCCCUGUGCUCUCUCUAGCUCCACCCUCAUCAUUCUUGCCUGUGCUGUUGUUGAGAACGCUGCUAUAAACAGUGGCCAGGGUAGGAAACCUGUCCUGGGCAUGCUCUUUAACAAAAUAUGCUGAGCUAAAGAAGAGUUAGAACAAGGUAAGACACUUAACAGAAUGCUUAUUAAAUUAAACGUGAAAAAUUUGGAAAGGAGAAUAAAGCAUUAUCAGUCAGGACCA